Molecule: ribosomal RNA, 254 nt
Filed under: uncultured bacterium
Lineage: Bacteria
Description: partial 16S ribosomal RNA
Rfam family: Bacterial small subunit ribosomal RNA
Source: RNAcentral
CACGUAGGGGCCAAGCGUUGUCCGGAUUUAUUGGGCGUAAAGAGCUCGUAGGCGGUUCAGUCAGUUGGGUGUGAAAACUCCGGGCUUAACUCGGAGAGGCCACUCAAUACUGCUGUGACUUGAGUCCGGUAGGGGAGUGGGGAAUUCCUGGUGUAGCGGUGAAAUGCGCAGAGAUCAGGAGGAACACCCGUAGCGAAGGCGGCACUCUGGGCCGAUACUGACGCUGAGGAGCGAAAGCGUGGGGAGCGAACAGG